UCCUGGCNCNUAUUGAACGCUGGCGGCAUGCCUUACACAUGCRAGUCGAACGGCAGCACGGGGGCAACCCUGGUGGCGAGUGGCGAACGGGUGAGUAAUAUAUCGGAACGUACCCAGUAGUGGGGGAUAACUAUCCGAAAGGAYAGCUAAUACCGCAUACGAUCUGUGGAUGAAAGCAGGGGAUCUUCGGACCUUGUGCUAWUGGAAUGGCCGAUAUCUGAUUAGCUAGUUGGUAGGGUAAAAGCCUACCAAGGCGACGAUCAGUAGCUGGUCUGAGAGGACGACCAGCCACACUGGAACUGAGACACGGUCCAGACUCCUACGGGAGGC
Molecule: ribosomal RNA, 330 nt
Filed under: uncultured beta-proteobacterium B-2
Lineage: Bacteria; Pseudomonadati; Pseudomonadota; Betaproteobacteria
Description: bacterial SSU rRNA
Rfam family: Bacterial small subunit ribosomal RNA
Source: RNAcentral